GAUGAAGAACGUAGCGAAAUGCGAUAAGUAAUGUGAAUUGCAGAAUUCAGUGAAUCAUCGAAUCUUUGAACGCACCUUGCACCCUUUGGUAUUCCGAAGGGUAUGCUCGUUUGAGUGUCAUUGUACUCUCACACUUCUAAUUCCUUUCGGGAUUGGGAGCGGUGGACUUGGGUGUUGCUGCUUUAGUUGUGGCUCACCUCAAAUAAGUUAGUGCAACUCUUGGUUGGACAUAGUACGGCGUGAUAAGUGUCUUCGCCGGCGCCUCUGUAAGGAGGGUGGCCGAUCGGGAGCUCUGUGCUUCAAACCGUCUUCGGACAAUCUUUGACAACUUGACCUCAGAUCGAGUAGGACUACCCGCUGAACUUAAGCAUAUCAAUAAACGGAGGA
This 387-nucleotide unclassified non-coding RNA is filed under the name soil metagenome. RNAcentral describes it as "partial contains 5.8S ribosomal RNA, internal transcribed spacer 2, and large subunit ribosomal RNA". The stretch from base 1 to 120 matches the Rfam family "5.8S ribosomal RNA", at positions 35 to 154 of the family's 154-position model. The record is from RNAcentral.